UACGGGGGGGGUAAGCGUUGUUCGGAAUUACUGGGCGUAAAGGGCUCGUAGGCGGCCAACUAAGUCGGACGUGAAAUCCCUCAGCUUAACUGGGGAACUGCGUCCGAUACUGGAUGGCUUGGAUUUGGGAGAGGGAUGCGGAAUUCCAGGUGUAGCGGUGAAAUGCGUAGAUAUCCGGAGGAACACCAGUGGCGAAGGCGACACGCUGGGCCGUACCUGACGCUAAAGCGCGACAGCAUGGGGAGCAAACGGG
Molecule: ribosomal RNA, 253 nt
Filed under: uncultured bacterium
Lineage: Bacteria
Description: partial 16S ribosomal RNA
Rfam family: Bacterial small subunit ribosomal RNA
Source: RNAcentral